GGGGCACCGAGGGUGGAAGGUGGGAGGCUAGAGAGAAUGUAGAGAAAGCAAUAAAAGAGCAGCACAUCCAUCCUCAGCAACCCCAUGAUUGUCUGAAUUCAUUAAAAUGGAUAAAAACUUUCAGACCUUCAAGGUAACCCACACAUUUUACCAUGCUGUUUCUGUCGCAUGGAAAACCACUUGUGGUGACCAAGAGACAGAUGUUCCUUACUCUUGCUAUCUCAAGAGGGACAGGCUCAGACCUGAGAGGCCAAGAGAAUUCACUCAACUGGCAGGGAGAGUCUGAAACCCUGAGAUAUCACUAAGCACCAAACAUGUGAUCCUGAGACGUGUGGAAUUGAGACUGGCAUCUGGUCAAUGAAGACUGAAAAGCAGACCCUGGACACAAAGGACAGCUGUAAAUAUCCUCACUUUGUUACUAAAUACUCUCUGUAGCGGUGUGUGUGCUUUUAUGGAAAUUGCUCCUUGAAGUUGACUCCUCAAAAAAAUCUGAGCUCUUGGCUUGAGUUUCUCAUCGGAGUUAUCCUUCUACAUGCUGUUUUCAUCGUUUUGUCAGUGAAACUAAACAUUAAAAUGCACAAACCAGAGUGGUGUGUGUGUUAACGUCAGGGCCGCAGCCAGGAUUUUAGAAAUACUGAG
Epinephelus moara (kelp grouper) is the source of this 639-nucleotide long non-coding RNA. RefSeq lists it as uncharacterized. NCBI's taxonomy places the organism in Eukaryota, Metazoa, Chordata, Actinopteri, Perciformes, Serranidae. The record is from RefSeq and is a predicted model, not a curated record. The transcript is spliced from 4 exons.